Non-coding RNA from Pelodiscus sinensis (Chinese soft-shelled turtle), 1038 nucleotides. The record is from RefSeq and is a predicted model, not a curated record. NCBI's taxonomy places the organism in Eukaryota, Metazoa, Chordata, Testudines, Trionychidae.
CCAAGCAGUGCUCUGUGCCUUGGCUGGGGAAGACCAAGAAGCUGGCCCAGCAGGACAGAAUGGUGAUAAGCCCCAGAAAGCAGGACGAUGAGUGGCGGUGCCCUUGUCAGCACCCUGAGAAUUCUUUGGUAAUAGGGACAGCACACCCUUAAUGCUGGGGAAUUACGAGAAAAUCUACAGAACUCAAGGUGCCAGCUGUAGUACUUUGCCUGAUGGCAAGUGAAAGAGAUGGGAGCAAAAAGAGAAUCAGCAGCUGGAUUACAGCAACCAGGCAGCAGGUGCUGAGUCGGGAGCUUGAAACAAGUGUAUCAGGAUCACUAUGGCCACAGAGCAGUGCAGCAUUCAUUACUUGGCAAGAAAAUCAUGUCUGGAGCUAUGAAACGGAAGUAGAGUCAUAAAAUCCACCAGAUACAAUUUAACAGCAUUCUGGAUUAUACACCUUCUGUUAACAAAGGGAAAAGAGCAAGGAAACCCUGUCAGGAAGUGCGUCUGAAAAGGAAAGUGUGUUUCAAUGGAUCAGUUCAGCAUUUUUGUCCACCUAAUCCUGUGAAGCAGCAUGCUUUGGCUAGUUAAAGGUGACUAACCCAAUCCCAUCUGUUCACAGGAAAAGUGACUGAAGAUGAAUCCAAAGGGACUUUCAUGAUUUGAGGAUGUAAAAAUGCAGGUGGAAAUGAAAGCAAAAGGACAAAAUGUUGAGGUCGCAGCUGAAAUUAAAGGUGAAGGGCUAAUAAAAACAUCUUACCUUCCUUCUCUGUCUAAAGGAAGUUAGCCCAAGAGGAAAUUUCUGAGAAAACUGAUUAUUAAAAAUACUAUGGGUCUUUGUUAAGCUUGUUGGGUUUUAUUUUCAUUAUCACAAGAGGGGAGGGUUAGUUGGCAAAAGAUAACACUAUAGAAGUGAUAGGGUCUCCUUGCCCCCGUCAGAUGUGGGGAGAAGGAUGAAAGUCUCUGAAAGGCCGCACAUAUAUCCUAAUAGGAAAACCAGCAUCUCUGCCCUCCCAAAUGGAAUUAUCUGAGGAAAGAUUGGACGCAGGUGACUGG